AGCAGCCGCGGUAAUUCCAGCUCCAAUAGCGUAUAUUAAAGUUGUUGCAGUUAAAAAAGCUCGUAGUUGAAUUUCGGGAUUGACACAUCGGUCGUGCCCUAAGGGGUAUGAACUGGUGUAGUCAAUUUCUCACCUUCUGGAGAACCGCGAUGCCCUUAAUUGGGUGUCACGGGGAACCAGGACCUUUACUUUGAAAAAAUUAGAGUGUUUAAGGCAGGCAUUUUUGCUUGAAUACAUUAGCAUGGAAUAAUAAAAUAGGACGGCAUGAUUCUAUUUUGUUGGUUUCUAGGAUCACCGUAAUGAUUAAUAGGGAUAGUUGGGGGCAUUAGUAUUCAAUUGUCAGAGGUGAAAUUCUUGGAUUUAUUGAAGACUAACUACUGCGAAAGCAUUUGCCAAGGAUGUUUUCAUUAAUCAAGAACGAAAGUUAGGGGAUCGAAGACGAUCAGAUACCGUCGUAGUCUUAACCAUAAACUAUGCCGACUAGGAAUCAGACGAUGUUAAUUUUUUAAUUGACUCAUUC
RNAcentral lists this ribosomal RNA (520 nucleotides) under uncultured Entrophospora. RNAcentral describes it as "SSU rRNA". It matches the Rfam family "Eukaryotic small subunit ribosomal RNA", at positions 569 to 1081 of the family's 1831-position model. The record is from RNAcentral. Lineage: Eukaryota; Fungi; Glomeromycota; Glomeromycetes; Entrophosporales; Entrophosporaceae.